CUCAAAGGCAGGAACCUGGAGGCAGCAACGAAUGCAGAGGCCGUGGAGGGAUGUUACUUACUGGCUUGCUACUCAUAGCUUGCUCAGCCUGCUUUCUCACAGAACUCAAGACCACCAGCCCAGGGGUGGCACCACCCAUAAUGGACUGGGCCCUCCCACACCCAUCACUAAUUAAGAAAAUGCUCACAGGCUUGUUUACAGGCUAAUCUUAUGGAGACAUUUCCUUAAUUAAGGCUUCUUUUGCAGGAUAACUCGUGUCAAGUUGACAAAACCAAAAACGAAACCAAAGCAAAAAAGCAAAAACCCAAAGCCAAAAUAUCUUACCCAGACAAUUAGAUUAAGAAUCACUUAGGAGAAAGACCUCUACCACGGACAUGUUUCUAAAACGGUGUAACCAAAGAGGGAGGACCCACCCGGAAGAGCCUAUGGACUGGAGUCCAGAACUGAAUAAGAAAGAAAAGGGAUGGAAAAUCACCCUUCACCUCUUCUUCCUGGCGAUGGAUAAAAUGGGACCAGCCUGGCAGUCACACCCGGGGCUGCUUUUGAUGCCGCACUUCCCUAGUCACGAUGGCCUGUACCUCAAACUGUGAGCCGCAAUGGACUCUUGCUUCUUUAAGUUGCUUUGUUUCCAGGUAUUUUGCUACAGCAAUGGGAAAAGUAACUAAGAUAAUGUCUUUGUGAGAGAAGCUUGGAGCUCUGUCUAGUGUUUUGGCCUUCCAUCACCGAAGGCAAAAACUUUGUUACCUUUAGAGGGUGGGAUGGAGCAACAGGCAACAGAAAACAGCCUUUACUAGAUACGGUGCAAGCUGGUGCCUUUGCCUUGGCCCUUCCAGCCUCCAAACUGUGAGGAAUGGAUUCCUGUUCUUUAUAGACAACAGGGACUAUCAUAUUCUGUUACGGCAAUAGAAUGGUCUAAGACAAACCCAAGUGAUGUCAUCACACGGGUGGUAAGAUGAGUGAUCUCAUAAAAAGGACACUGUGAUGGCUAGCAUUGUCAUCUUGACACAACCUAAAAUUACCUGGGGAAAGAAUCUUCACAGGGGAUCAUUUAUAUAUUCCCCAACAGACUAUAGGCAUGUCUGUUGGGGAUAGUCUUGAUUAAUCGAUACGGGAAGAUCCAGUCCACUGUGGGUAGCACCAUUACCUAGGCAGGAGGAAUCCUGAGUGCAUGAAUGGAGAAAUGAAACUGAGUACAAGCAGAUAACUGAGAAUAUCUGUCUGCACAGGAGCAGAAUGACUGCCCCCCACCACUGAGCCAGAAAACUGCUUAAUGGGGUGACCGGUAAUCCCUCCAGUGAGCAGAAAUCGCAGGGGGCAACCAUCACAGCGGUGAAUUCGUGAGUUUGUGUGUGGUCAUGUGAUGUCCAGAAGAUACCCCAACCUCUGACUCUUACAAAAUCUCCACCCCGUCUUUAUAGAAGCUUUGUGAGUCUUUGCUUCUUUGCAGAAAGCGUCUCCCCCUGGCCUGGAACUUGCCUGAAGGGUUAGGCUGGCCGGCCGGCCAGCCAUGACUUUAUAGAAGGAAGACUGAAAAGAAAGAGACCCCUAUCUGCAAUAACCAGAGACUCCACAAGGUAGAAGGGAAGUCUGCUGGGCUGCCAAAGAUGUACAAGGACCGACCGUAAAUCCUGAACUGUCCCGAAAUGCAAAGGCUUCAGUCAACCUUUGUGAAAGAAUUCCACGCAGUUAAACAAAAAGUGACUUUCUAUUGCCUUUCUGGGUCUCCCUUUGUUUAACAAAGAUCAGGGUGUGAACUCAGGGGUCAAAGUCCUCCCACGGGCAAGUUGGAUUUAAAAGCUACUAUGAAUUUCUUACCUUUAAUUUUUUUUUUUUACUGUUAAACCUAGAGCUAAGCACGGCUUUAUAAAGCUACGGUGGAAAAUCGGAUUGAGUUAAGAAUGCAUUGUCUCCUCUAUUGAAUGCCAGGGAGAGAUGAAAAACACGUGCAAGGAACUUGGAAAGAAAGAGCAGGCCUACAACUCCCAGCGUGAGAUGUGGGAAGCCAGAGACUGAAGCUCCAUCCUGUCCUCCUCAGUUGCUCUCAAAACCUUGUUUUGUGAGAGUCUUUCAUUGAGCCAGGAGUUCUGCAGUUUUCUGGAUUGGCAGGCUACAAAUGUUGGUAUUCGGUCUAAGCUCCACCCCCACAGCAACCUGGGAACAGCCAGGUAUGCUCCGCCCCACAGUUGCCUGGCAACAACCAGCUGUGCCUGACACUAUAUAAGGGGCUGCUUGCCCCCUCCUCUUUCUCUUUGCUCUCUUCUCUUCCCCUCUUCCCUGUCCCUUCUCUCUUCCCACCUCUCCACCCCUUCCCGCAACGUGCCCAUGGACGGCCUUUCCUCUCAUCUCCUCUCCUCUCAU
Rattus norvegicus (Norway rat) is the source of this 2358-nucleotide non-coding RNA. Lineage: Eukaryota; Metazoa; Chordata; Mammalia; Rodentia; Muridae. The record is from RefSeq and is a predicted model, not a curated record.